CCUUAGCGGCGGACGGGUGAGUAACACGUGGGUAACCUGCCCUUGAGAGGGGGAUAACAGGUCGAAAGGCCUGCUAAUACCGCAUAACGCUAAGAUGCCGCAUGGCGUCUUAGCCAAAGGUUAAUUCCGCUCAAGGAUGGGCCCGCGGCCCAUUAGCUAGUUGGUGAGGUAAUGGCUCACCAAGGCGACGAUGGGUAGCCGGCCUGAGAGGGUGGUCGGCCACACUGGGACUGAGACACGGCCCAGACUCCUACGGGAGGCAGCAGUGGGGAAUAUUGCGCAAUGGGGGAAACCCUGACGCAGCGACGCCGCGUGAGCGAUGAAGGCCUUCGGGUUGUAAAGCUCUGUCUUCCCUGACGAUAAUGACGGUAAGGGAGGAGGAAGCCACGGCUAACUACGUGCCAGCAGCCGCGGUAAUACGUAGGUGGCAAGCGUUGUCCGGAAUUACUGGGCGUAAAGGGUGCGUAGGCGGCUCUUUAAGUGGGGUGUGAAAUCCCUGGGCUCAACCCAGGAACUGCACUCCAAACUGGAGAGCUAGAGUGCAGGAGAGGAAAGCGGAAUUCCCAGUGUAGCGGUGAAAUGCGUAGAGAUUGGGAGGAACACCAGUGGCGAAGGCGGCUUUCUGGACUGUAACUGACGCUGAGGCACGAAAGCGUGGGGAGCAAACAGGAUUAGAUACCCGGGUAGUCCA
Molecule: ribosomal RNA, 691 nt
Filed under: uncultured Caloramator sp.
Lineage: Bacteria; Bacillati; Bacillota; Clostridia; Eubacteriales; Clostridiaceae
Description: bacterial SSU rRNA
Rfam family: Bacterial small subunit ribosomal RNA
Source: RNAcentral